Molecule: long non-coding RNA, 1485 nt
Filed under: Populus tremula
Lineage: Eukaryota; Viridiplantae; Streptophyta; Magnoliopsida; Malpighiales; Salicaceae
Description: long non-coding RNA (PTRE_LNC000388)
Source: RNAcentral
AAUGCAUCAAAGUUUAAAUAACACACACACACAUAAAAUUAAAAUUAAAAUUACAAAGCCGUGCCUUCAAAAGGGCUUAAAAAACAAACAACAAAGAACAUUGCCAUAAAAAAUAAAACACUUCAUGCAAAAAAUAUAAAUCUUCAUUGUGCACAUCAUCAUAAUAAAAAAGCACAUCAAGAUGAUAAGAACAUUGCACUUUGAUUCCGUGACAUCAUUGACAUCAAAACCUGAAAAUCAAGAUCUAAAAUUAUAACAUGAUAAAAUAAAUUAGAAUAUGUAAAAAUAAAAAUUAAUUUUUUACCAUCAAACUUUUGGACUAAUUAUCAUCCGUUACUAAAUGUAACUUUCCACCAAAUUCACAAAGCUAGUUGUGGGAGGUAGGAGGGGCUAAUAUUUUGGUUGACCCAAUCUUGGUGGGUAACUUAGAUUUUGGAAUUCCGUGGCUUUAUGAUGCUGCCAAGAAGGUCCUUAAGAAUUUCCAGGUACUGCUCCUUCUAAUCUUUGAACUGUUAUGUUAAGUGUUAACUGCCUGCUAAAUUUUGACCCUAUGCUCUUUGCCUUUUUUGUCGUUCAAGCAUAUACAGAGUCAAUUUAAUUUGUAGUCUACUAGCUAUUAAAGUGGGGCUACGCUCGGUAAUGGCAUUUUACAAUUAUUUUCCUCUGUAAUUUAUUGUGGGAAUGAUUGUGAUUGAUGGAAAUUGGUAAUAUAAUGUCAAAAAAGGGAGAUUGACAGAAAAAAAAAAUUCAUACCUGGUAUCUAAACCGACGGCGAAGAUGAGUCUAGACCGAACGGCCAAGAUCAACCAAAGAAGACGCUGAAGAGAAAGCGAGCAACAUUAAAACCAAAACAGCAGCAGCAACUUUUGAACAUAAGAGGUGAAGUGGUGAACAGAAAGGAGCCAAGAUUGAGGAAUUAAAGAGAGAAAUGAAGAAUCGAAGAUGAGGACAACCAAACGAAAGCUUUAACAGUAGAGGGCAAUAUCUAUAUUAUAUAUAGUAGAGCUCGCUUACCAGACGAAACCAUGCCUUUAAGGUAAGGCUGGAGUGGAAGGGAGAGUACGGUAGAAGAUCAGAGAGAAUCUGGUUCGAGGAGCCUAGCCUUCUUUGCUAUUAGUUUCAAUAGCUGCUGCUUUUGUUUGCGCCAACCCUCUUAGGAAGGAAGAACUCUGGGGAACUUCCGGAUUAACUGAUUAAGGAGUUAGCGGGAAGAAGAUUAGCAGUACGAGGAGGCGAUUCAGCAAGCUAGCCACACCUCCAUCACUUGACACUUUCUUAUUCACAGUUUCACACCGAAGAGAGAGUGAGUGAAAGUGUGGAAUCUGUGGAUUAUGUGAGCGCGACUGUGAGGAAUGAGGGAGCGGCGCUGGAGAGAAAAGUAUCUAGGGUUUUUAGUUAAUUAGGUUUCAGGAAUUAGAAAGUGUUUUUUUUUUUUUUUGUAUUUAUAGUACCCCUUAAACCGAACCGAACCGGUUCGGUUGGGGU